UUAACAACUUAAUUAUAACUGUUGGUAAAGAAUAUUUUUUUAUUUUUUUAAUUACGUCUGUCAUAAUGUCAUUAUAGUAUAGAUAUAAAUAAGUAUGAAGUGUGAAGAAAAUUAUUGUUAAAUAAGUUAUUAGAUAAGAUGGAAUAUAGAUAUUAUGUAGGCAAUAGUUAUUAGGAGAUAGAGUGCGUGUAUAAAAGGUAAAAUUUGAUACACACUGCGUGAGAGUAAUUUAGGUAAAAAAAUUGACAAAUACAUAAUUCGUCAGUCAUUGAAUUAGAUUCAACGACUAAAAAUUAAUAAAUUUUAUGAUAAUUUGAAAAUAAAAUAAAAAUUAUAUUUUAUAAAUAGUAUAGAUAUAUAGUAAAGAGUUACUAUGUUAUCGGAAGUAUAAAAGAUUUAAUGUUUUCGAUUUUUUAACCCUUAGAUCAAGAAUUGUACAGUUGGGAUAAUUGCGGUCUCCGCUAAGAUUGAGUAGUACGCAUAGUUAGUUAAUUCGGAUUCGGCAAAAAUUCGGUAAAGGUAUAAUUCGGAUAAAAUUCGUCUUCUAAUUUUUAAAUUCGUUGAAAAAAA
RNAcentral lists this long non-coding RNA (570 nucleotides) under Ananas comosus (pineapple). RNAcentral's name for it is "long non-coding RNA (ACOM_LNC001044)". Lineage: Eukaryota; Viridiplantae; Streptophyta; Magnoliopsida; Poales; Bromeliaceae. The record is from RNAcentral.